AGGUUGAAGGUUGGGUAACACUAACUGGAGGACCGAACCGACUAAUGUUGAAAAUUAGCGGAUGACCUGUGGCUGGGGGUGAAAGGCCAAUCAAACCGGGAGAUAGCUGGUUCUCCCCGAAAGCUAUUUAGGUAGCGCCUCGUGAACUCAUCUUCGGGGGUAGAGCACUGUUUCGGCUAGGGGGCCAUCCCGGCUUACCAACCCGAUGCAAAACUACGAAUACCGAAGAAUGUUAUCACGGGAGACACACGGCGAGUGCUAACGUCCGUCGUGAAGAGGGAAACAACCCAGACCGCCAGCUAAGGUCCCCAAAUAUAUGUUAAGUGGGAAACGAUGUGGGAAGGCCCAGACAGCCAGGAUGUUGGCUUAGAAGCAGCCAUCAUUUAAAGAAAGCGUAAUAGCUCACUGGUCGAGUCGGCCUGCGCGGAAGAUGUAACGGGGCUAAACCAUGCACCGAAGCUGCGGCAGCGACGCUUAUGCGUUGUUGGGUAGGGGAGCGUUCUGUAAGCCGUUGAAGGUGGCCUGUGAGGGUUGCUGGAGGUAUCAGAAGUGCGAAUGCUGACAUAAGUAACGAUAAAGCGGGUGAAAGGCCCGCUCGCCGGAAGACCAAGGGUUCCUGUCCAACGUUAAUCGGGGCAGGGUGAGUCGACCCCUAAGGCGAGGCCGAAAGGCGUAGUCGAUGGGAAACAGGUUAAUAUUCCUGUACUUGGUGUUACUGCGAAGGGGGGACGGAGAAGGCUAUGUUAGCCGGGCGACGGUUGUCCCGGUUUAAGCAUGUAGGCGGAGGUUCCAGGUAAAUCCGGUACCUUUUAACGCUGAGGUGUGAUGACGAGGCACUACGGUGCUGAAGUAACAAAUGCCCUGCUUCCAGGAAAAGCCUCUAAGCAUCAGGUAACACGAAAUCGUACCCCAAACCGACACAGGUGGUCAGGUAGAGAAUACCAAGGCGCUUGAGAGAACUCGGGUGAAGGAACUAGGCAAAAUGGUGCCGUAACUUCGGGAGAAGGCACGCUGAUAUGUAGGUGAAGCCCCUGCGGGUGGAGCUGAAAUCAGUCGAAGAUACCAGCUGGCUGCAACUGUUUAUUAAAAACACAGCACUGUGCAAACACGAAAGUGGACGUAUACGGUGUGACGCCUGCCCGGUGCCGGAAGGUUAAUUGAUGGGGUUAGCGGUAACGCGAAGCUCUUGAUCGAAGCCCCGGUAAACGGCGGCCGUAACUAUAACGGUCCUAAGGUAGCGAAAUUCCUUGUCGGGUAAGUUCCGACCUGCACGAAUGGCGUAAUGAUGGCCAGGCUGUCUCCACCCGAGACUCAGUGAAAUUGAACUCGCUGUGAAGAUGCAGUGUACCCGCGGCAAGACGGAAAGACCCCGUGAACCUUUACUAUAGCUUGACACUGAACACUGGUCCUUGAUGUGUAGGAUAGGUGGGAGGCUUUGAAGCGUGGACGCCAGUCUGCGUGGAGCCGACCUUGAAAUACCACCCUUUAAUGGCUGGUGUUCUAACGUAGACCCGUAAUCCGGGUUGCGGACAGUGUCUGGUGGGUAGUUUGACUGGGGCGGUCUCCUCCCAAAGAGUAACGGAGGAGCACGAAGGUUAGCUAAUCCUGGUCGGACAUCAGGAGGUUAGUGCAAUGGCAUAAGCUAGCUUGACUGCGAGAGUGACGGCUCGAGCAGGUGCGAAAGCAGGUCAUAGUGAUCCGGUGGUUCUGAAUGGAAGGGCCAUCGCUCAACGGAUAAAAGGUACUCCGGGGAUAACAGGCUGAUACCGCCCAAGAGUUCAUAUCGACGGCGGUGUUUGGCACCUCGAUGUCGGCUCAUCACAUCCUGGGGCUGAAGUAGGUCCCAAGGGUAUGGCUGUUCGCCAUUUAAAGUGGUACGCGAGCUGGGUUUAGAACGUCGUGAGACAGUUCGGUCCCUAUCUGCCGUGGGCGCUGGAGAAUUGAGGGGGGCUGCUCCUAGUACGAGAGGACCGGAGUGGACGCAUCACUGGUGUUCGGGUUGUCAUGCCAAUGGCACUGCCCGGUAGCUAAAUGCGGAAGAGAUAAGUGCUGAAAGCAUCUAAGCACGAAACUUGCCCCGAGAUGAGUUCUCCCUGAGACUUAAAGUCUCCUGAAGGAACGUUGAAGACGACGACGUUGAUAGGUCGGGUGUGUAAGCGCAGCGAUGCGUUGAGCUAACCGAUACUAAUGAACCGUGAGGCUUAACCU
RNAcentral lists this ribosomal RNA (2208 nucleotides) under Enterobacter cloacae. RNAcentral's name for it is "bacterial LSU rRNA". It matches the Rfam family "Bacterial large subunit ribosomal RNA", at positions 742 to 2925 of the family's 2925-position model. Lineage: Bacteria; Pseudomonadati; Pseudomonadota; Gammaproteobacteria; Enterobacterales; Enterobacteriaceae. The record is from RNAcentral.